Molecule: non-coding RNA, 1331 nt
Organism: Gasterosteus aculeatus aculeatus (three-spined stickleback)
Lineage: Eukaryota; Metazoa; Chordata; Actinopteri; Perciformes; Gasterosteidae
Source: RefSeq, a predicted model, not a curated record
AGGCCAGUGAAGAGAAUACAACCAUGGCCCAACAAAACCAAACACGCAGGAUCUCUGGAUUCACGGUGUUCAGGGCGCAGAUCAACGUGCACGGCUGCUUUUAUUCAUUCAUUCAUUCAUUCAUCCAUUCAUUCAUUCAUUCAUUGAUGACCUCGACGCUCAGCGCUGGAACGUCAUGGCUGCUGUUUGAUUUCUCCACCGGAGCAACAACAACAACAGCUGACCGAGAUCUGCGCGGAGCAAAGCGGGCGAACGAGCGACUGCAAGCGCUGCCGUCGUCGCAAAACCCGGCAUGUGACGGGAUGGAGUAUUGGAGGAUGGAGACUUGGACUUCGUUCAUGAUACCAACUGCCGACGGGAAGAAACUGUUCCAGACGGUGACAGAGGAGCAAAGGAUGGACUCAACGUCCGUGCAGAAGUGCACCAUCAUUGCCUAUGGCAGGGUGUACAUCUUCUGCUGAGCCUUCUUGGUGAUCGGAGAAGGUGAGGCUGCGUUCCUUCGAAAAUCUGCUACCAUCUCCACUGAGAAGCUCUGAGCUCUAAAACAUUUUAACUGCACAACGUCACCAGUUGGUCAACCUUCGACCUGUAGAGGGAUUCGUCCCUACCAGAGAUGAGUAAACGGGAACUUCGCCCAAAGAGACGAAAGACCUGGAAUCUCUGUGUUAGCGUGUAAGGAACAGGAUCUUCUUUCUAAAAUCAGUCACCACAGAGGGGGAAACAUCCUUCUCUGGGGAUGCUUUUCUGCAGAGGGGACAGGCCGACUGCACUGUAUUGAGGGGAGGAUAGAUGGGACAGGCUGGGUCUUCCAGCAUGACAAUGACCCGUCUCCAGACCUGAACCCAAUAGAAAAUCUUUGGAGGGAGCUGAAAGUCUGUCAUGGCCCGGCGACAGCCCCAAAACCUGAAGGAUAUGGAGAAGGUCUGUAUGGAGGAGUGGGCCAAAAUCCCUGCUGCAGUGUGUGCAAAUCUGGUCAAGAACCACAGGAGACGUAUGAUGUUGGUAAUUGCAAAUAAAGCUCCCAAAUAUUAAGCAUGACUUUUUGUCAUGCAAUGAACCGCAUUUAUUCAUUUUAUACAAUACAAUGUGAUUUUCUUGAUUUUUGUUUUAGAUUCCGUCACUCAGAGUUGAAGAGUAAAUGAUGGACAGGUGACACCUUGCAGGUAGCUCCUAUCUUCAGUAUAUGAAUAGGUGUGAAUAAUGACAAAGAAAGAGUAACACAAGUACAAUCCAUUUAACAUCAUAUAUACAGUAUAUGAUAUAUGCUAUUGUAAAUGAUUUACAACCUGAACUAUUGAAUGUCUAUAAUGUAAUAAAUUACUUAAAGUGGA